This is a long non-coding RNA of Carassius gibelio (silver crucian carp), 1438 nucleotides long. RefSeq lists it as uncharacterized. The transcript has 3 exons. The record is from RefSeq and is a predicted model, not a curated record. NCBI's taxonomy places the organism in Eukaryota, Metazoa, Chordata, Actinopteri, Cypriniformes, Cyprinidae.
UUGGUAGUUUUAUUUUAUUACUUCUAUCAUGAUUGGUUAAUCUGGCUGUCAUUCAGGAAACUGGACAAUGAAUCGGUUCGCGCCUUUCUACAUUUAAAAAUAUGACCGUUAUUGUUGUCUUUCUGUGAGUGAGGCGGCUAACUGUGAGCUGCUGCUCGUUAUAACUGACUGCUCGGUCGGUCCCAAAUUAUUUCAUAUUUGCCUGUACAUUUUUUAUUUAUUUUGAGCGAAUUUGAGUCGUGACAUGUCAAUGGAGAACAAAAACUGUGAACACAAGAAGGGUCAUGUGUUCUGCGAGGUCCUGAAAACAUCCUGGCAAAAUGAGGUAAGAAAAUCGCUAACGUUAUCUUUAUUAUCUUUUGAAAAUAGUAAAGUAUUACCAGAGUUUACAAAUGGGUAGUUUAAAGGACAUGUAACCUGCAGAUAAAUAAAUACCCGUGUGUCUAUUUUUGCAUUGCUUUAUCACAGAUGAUCAAGUUAGAUGCUCACCUAAUGUGUUGCUGAGUCAUCAAGGAUCCAGCUUGUUCUUGAAACAUUGAAGUUUGCACUCUGCAAGUAAACAACGCCUUGUGGUGCCAUCCCAAAGAGGUUCGAAAUCACUCUCAAGGACCUUUUCCUGGACUGUGCCCAGCUGGUGGAAUGACCUCCUGAUCUCAAUUCGUACUGCUGAGUCUUUCCUCAUUUUCAAGAAACAUCUUAAGACUCAUCUUUUCCACCAGAACUUAACCAACUAAUGCUAGCACUUUUCCUUCUUUUCUUGUCUUUCAUAUAAAAAUAAAACAACCCUGGCUUUGCGUUCUGUACUAGACUGAUUGAAACUUGUCAUGGCACUUGUAUACUGUUGUUCUUCGCUUGUACACCUGACUGCUUCUGUUGUUCUCAUUUGUAAGUCGCUUUGGAUAAAAUCGUCUGUUAAAUGAUUAAAUGUAAAUGUUUAUACAGGACGGUAGAGAAAGUGCACAAGUGGGAGAGAGUGGAGGGGACGGCGUCAGAAAGGAACUAGCGCUGGGACACUUUCAAGGAUCACCCGAAGCACAACCACACUGUAUGCACGAGGCUGCUGUUUCUAACAUUUUAGAGUGCCCUGCGGUAGAAAUCUCAUUCUGCAUUCCCCACAGUAAAGAAGACACAGUCCGGGGGGGUUCCCGUUAGAAAUCAACUGGUUGAAGGUUCCCUGCUCGUACUGUGCAACACAUUUUCACUGCACAAAUGUACACAACUUAAAAUAAAAGAUCCACUGGUUUCAGUCAUAAAGGUACAAGGUCUUGUAGGUGCUGCAAAAAAUAUGCAUUUAUGUGCCAAAUUAUUUUACAAAAACCUUUUAAUAUUAUUUAAUUUGGAUUGUUAUACUACAUGUUUUUAGCAUUACCUCCAUGCAUACUCUGCAUAAUAAAGUGUGGGAUUAUUUUCAUCUGUUUUAUACAGUAUGUUUCCAAAA